UGGGAAUCUUGCACAAUGGGCGAAAGCCUGAUGCAGCAACGCCGCGUGCGGGAAGACAGCCCUAGGGUUGUAAACCGCUUUCAGCAGGGAAGAAACUGACGGUACCUGCAGAAGAAGAUGCGGCCAACUACGUGCCAGCAGCCGCGGUGACACGUAGGCAUCAAGCGUUAUCCGGAUUUAUUGGGCGUAAAGAGCUCGUAGGCGGUUCGGUAAGUCGGGUGUGAAAACUCUGGGCUCAACCCAGAGAGGCCACUCGAUACUGCUGUGACUAGAGUGCGGUAGGGGAGCGGGGAAUUCCUGGUGUAGCGGUGAAAUGCGCAGAUAUCAGGAGGAACACCAGUGGCGAAGGCGCCGCUCUGGGCCGUAACUGACGCUGAGGAGCGAAAGCAUGGGUAGCAAACAGGAUUAGAUACCCUGGUAGUCCAUGCCGUAAACGUUGGGCACUAGGUGUGGGUCUCAACCAACGAGAUCCGCGCCGUCGCUAACGCAUUAAGUGCUCCGCCUGGGAGUACGGUCGCAAGAC
This 523-nucleotide ribosomal RNA is filed under the name uncultured bacterium. Its description in RNAcentral is "bacterial SSU rRNA". It matches the Rfam family "Bacterial small subunit ribosomal RNA", at positions 356 to 894 of the family's 1533-position model. The record is from RNAcentral.